This 2258-nucleotide long non-coding RNA is filed under the name Homo sapiens (human). RNAcentral describes it as "PREDICTED lncRNA (TCONS_00142955)". The record is from RNAcentral. Lineage: Eukaryota; Metazoa; Chordata; Mammalia; Primates; Hominidae.
CUACAUAUCUGCAUAUACUAUAUAUAGAGUGUGGGUGUAUGUCUCUGUGUAAUAACAUAAUAUACAUACAUUUUUAACUGGCGGGGAACACAGAGAUACAAAGAAGAAAAUAAAAGCAGAAAUGAAGAAAAAAGGAGAAAGGAGAAAAGCAUGCACUUGGAGACUAAGACCAGGAGAUAGAAACAGAGAAGCAAGACAAGGCGCAGUGGCUCACACUUGUAAUUCCAGCACCUUAGGAGGACGAGGCAGGAGGAUGGCUUGAGACCAGGAGUUCGCGACCAGCCUGGCAACAUAGUGGGAACUGAUUUUAUGACCAAAAAAAUGUUUUUUAAUUAAAAAGAGAGAGAGAGAAGAAAGAAAGAAAGAAAAGAAAAAAGAAAGAGAGAGAGAAAGAAGAAAGAAAGAAAAAGAGAAAGAAAGAAAAAACAAGGACAAUGAUAUACAGAGAGAAAAAUGAAGACUGAGAGCAAAGAAGAGACUGAGAUUGAUGGAAUCACGAGGUCUCCCUCCUUUAGCCUGGAAACUCCACAAGAGCAAGAAUUUUGUCCAUUUUUGUUCAUUACAUAUCGCCAACUCCUUGAGCAGUGCCUGGCACUCAGUAGGUGUUUUGCUCUAUGUUGGCAAGAAACCAGGCUGGACAGGGAGAGUGUCUGCAGUUGCCUAAGUGAACACUAGGUGACAGUAUUUAUAAGCCCUGGAGCUUCCAGGCUCCAAGGUCCCAGAGAUGGCGGUGGAGGAUUUGCCGCCACUGACCUCUGACUUUCAGGAUCUCUUCCUCGGGGCUCAGCCCUGCCUUUCCCUGCACAAGCCUUGGGCGAUGAAUGACCUUUCCGCCUGAGACACCCUCUUCACUCUCCUUCACCAGCCUGCCCAGUUAAACAACUCUUUGUCCCUGGCCCCUUCCUGCUGGGCCCCGAGGCACCUGGGUUCUUUCCAGGCCCGGAGAUGGGGCUGCGACAGAGGUGGUGCAGCUGGGACAAGGCCAAGGAAAAAUCCUGGAGACUCUGGAAUCAGUUCUUCCAGUGAUUGAGACCAAGGGUGAGUCACAAGAAGCCCUGAGGCCCUGAGUCACCUCGCCCUCCCCCCUUGGCCCCUCCCUGGGCUGGAGGCAGCUGGCUGAGGAGUGAAGCAGUUUCCUAGGACUGACCCCUGCAUCCCAGGACUGCAGUUUGAAGGCAGGUGCCCUUCCCACUGUAACCCCAUCACUGCCACCCAGGCAUGUCCAUGCCCAUCCUUUGCUGUUUUUCUCUUUCAGUCAUGGCCUAUUUGGAGACAAAAUUUCUCUGUGCUCUAACUUCCGUGUCUUGAUUGUGUUUUCCGGUUUCUCUGCACCUGUGGGUCUCUUUGAUUUUUUUUAAUACAUGCCCCCACCAUCCCUGGCUGAAUGCCUCGAGGUCUCUCUGAUUAUCUCUCUCUCCCUCUGUGUCAGUCUCUGUCUCCGUUUUUCACAAGUGCCUGAACUGGGGCACAGAUGCCAUGGCAUGGCCGCAGCUGGAGCGCUAUUUAGUGGCUUCUGACCCUUGGGUGGCCACAGUCUCUGGAUCACUGGCCCUCAACCCCUGAGUGGGACUGGGGUAGAACCGGAAGGAACCAGGCUGUCCGUAGAUGUGCCAGUGAACAGCAGAGAGAAACUGAGGCAGAGACAAGCAUAGAGAGGCCCGGAGAGAGAGAGAGAGACCCAAGAGGAGACCAGGAGGCAGGGAGAGAGUGAAACAGAGACGGAGAGAAACACCGAUUCAGCAAGAGACAGACAAAAACAGAGGGCCCUAGAGACGGAGAGAUGGAGACAGAGUGAGACACGAUGACAGAGACACAGGCAAUGAUGAACACAGAGAGAGACAUGACAGAGAGACAGUGACGGGGAAAGAAGGAAACAGAGGAGCAGAGAGGGACACGAAGAUGGAGAAAGGGACAGAGCGAUGAGAGAGACACAGAGAGGCUAAGAGAGGCAGAGACAGAGAGACAGAGUGAAGAGAGACAGAGAGAGACAAAGGUACCAGGAGAGAAGAACAGAGACAGAGAUAAAGACAAACCUGGCCAGGCACGGUGGCUUACGCCUGUAAUCCCAGAACUUUGGGAGGCCGAGGCGGGUGGAUCACCUGAGGUCAGAAGUUCACGACCAGCCUGGCCAACAUGGUGAAACCUCGUCUCUACUAAAAAUACGAAAAUUAGCUGGGUGUGGUGGUGCACACCUGUAAUAUCAGCUACUCGGGAGGUUGAGGUAGGAGAAUUGCUUGAACCUGGGAGGUGGAGGUUGC